UUUGGAUUCAUUCUGCAUCAACAAUGGAGCUUUGAACAGAGGCCCAGCUCCCCUCCCUCAUAUGCAGUUUCAGUUGGAACUGACAAAGCAAUAAUACCAGCUAAUGAAGAAAUAAUCCAAUAAAAGUGUCAGGAGAGAAAGUCACUGAUAUUAUCCAGACACCUCUUUGAAACAUAAGUGACUAUUCAUCAUACAGAGGGGUCUCUUUUCCACUCAUAGCAAGAGGUAGUCCUGAAUGAGUGACCCUUGUAAUGCAGAGACAUAGUACUGAUGAUAGAGAAGAGAAGCGUCUGAAAUACUGAUUGAAGAUUCUUAACAAAAAUUGUAAAUGGAUUUUUCCCUCUAUAUAGACAUGGUAAAAACACAAGCUUUAUCUAUAAAGAUGUUUUUCUCUUCCGUGACUUUUUUGUAACUA
Molecule: long non-coding RNA, 415 nt
Organism: Mauremys reevesii (Reeves's turtle)
Lineage: Eukaryota; Metazoa; Chordata; Testudines; Geoemydidae
Exons: 3
Source: RefSeq, a predicted model, not a curated record